GUGGGGAAUCUUAGACAAUGGGCGCAAGCCUGAUCUAGCCAUGCCGCGUGAGCGAUGAAGGCCUUAGGGUUGUAAAGCUCUUUCAGUGGGGAAGAUAAUGACUGUACCCACAGAAGAAGCCCCGGCUAACUCCGUGCCAGCAGCCGCGGUAAUACGGAGGGGGCUAGCGUUGUUCGGAAUUACUGGGCGUAAAGCGCACGUAGGCGGAUGGACAAGUCAGAGGUGAAAUCCCAGGGCUCAACCUUGGAACUGCCUUUGAAACUUUCCAUCUUGAGGUCGAGAGAGGUGAGUGGAAUUCCGAGUGUAGAGGUGAAAUUCGUAGAUAUUCGGAGGAACACCAGUGGCGAAGGCGGCUCACUGGCUCGAUACUGACGCUGAGGUGCGAAAGCGUGGGGAGCAAACAGGAUUAGAAACCCUAGUAGUCC
RNAcentral lists this ribosomal RNA (425 nucleotides) under uncultured bacterium. RNAcentral describes it as "bacterial SSU rRNA". It matches the Rfam family "Bacterial small subunit ribosomal RNA", at positions 354 to 796 of the family's 1533-position model. The record is from RNAcentral.